This 490-nucleotide ribosomal RNA is filed under the name uncultured bacterium. RNAcentral describes it as "bacterial SSU rRNA". It matches the Rfam family "Bacterial small subunit ribosomal RNA", at positions 29 to 517 of the family's 1533-position model. The record is from RNAcentral.
AUUGAACGCUGGCGGAAUGCUUUACACAUGCAAGUCGGGCGGCAGCGCGGGAGCAAUCCUGGCGGCGAGUGGCGAACGGGUGAGUAAUAUAUCGGAACGUGCCCAGUAGUGGGGGAUAGCCCGGCGAAAGCCGGAUUAAUACCGCAUGCGCCCUACGGGGGAAAGCCGGGGACCGCAAGGCCUGGCGCGAUUGGAUGAGCCCAUGUUCGAUUAGCUAGUUGGCGGGUAAAGGCCACCAAGGCGACGAUCGAUAGCUGGUCUGAGAGGAUGAUCAGCCACACUGGAACUGAGACACGGUCCAGACUCCUACGGGAGGCAGCAGUAGGGAAUAUUGGACAAUGGGGGCAACCCUGAUCCAGCCAUGCCGCGUGAGUGAAGAAGGCCCUCGGGUUGUAAAGCUCUUUUGUCCGGAAAGAAAGCAAUCGGUUAAUACCCGGUUGUUCUGACGGUACCGGAAGAAUAAGCACGGCUAACUUCGUGCCAGCAGCCG